Molecule: ribosomal RNA, 253 nt
Filed under: uncultured bacterium
Lineage: Bacteria
Description: partial 16S ribosomal RNA
Rfam family: Archaeal small subunit ribosomal RNA
Source: RNAcentral
UACCAGCACCCCGAGUGGUCGGGACGAUUAUUGGGCCUAAAGCAUCCGUAGCCGGUUCUACAAGUCUUCCGUUAAAUCCAGCUGCUUAACAGAUGGGCUGCGGAGGAUACUAUAAGACUAGGAGGCAGGAGAGGCAAGCGGUACUCAGUGGGUAGGGGUAAAAUCCGUUGAUCCAUUGAAGACCACCAGUGGCGAAGGCGGCUUGCCAGAAUGCGCUCGACGGUGAGGGAUGAAAGCUGGGGGAGCAAACGGG